GACGAACGCUGGCGGCGUGCCUAAUACAUGCAAGUUGAGCGCUGAAGGUUGGUACUUGUACCAACUGGAUGAGCAGCGAACGGGUGAGUAACGCGUGGGGAAUCUGCCUUUGAGCGGGGGACAACAUUUGGAAACGAAUGCUAAUACCGCAUAAAAACUUUAAACACAAGUUUUAAGUUUGAAAGAUGCAAUUGCAUCACUCAAAGAUGAUCCCGCGUUGUAUUAGCUAGUUGGUGAGGUAAAGGCUCACCAAGGCGAUGAUACAUAGCCGACCUGAGAGGGUGAUCGGCCACAUUGGGACUGAGACACGGCCCAAACUCCUACGGGAGGCAGCAGUAGGGAAUCUUCGGCAAUGGACGAAAGUCUGACCGAGCAGCGCCGCGGGAGUGAAGAAGGUUGUCGGAUCGUAAAACUCGGUUGGUAGAGAAGAACGUUGGUGAGAGUGGAAAGCUCAUCAAGUGACGGUAACUACCCAGAAAGGGACGGCUAACUACGUG
This 497-nucleotide ribosomal RNA is filed under the name uncultured bacterium. Its description in RNAcentral is "partial 16S ribosomal RNA". It matches the Rfam family "Bacterial small subunit ribosomal RNA", at positions 28 to 507 of the family's 1533-position model. The record is from RNAcentral.